This 301-nucleotide ribosomal RNA is filed under the name uncultured bacterium. RNAcentral describes it as "partial 16S ribosomal RNA". It matches the Rfam family "Bacterial small subunit ribosomal RNA", at positions 509 to 807 of the family's 1533-position model. The record is from RNAcentral.
CAGCCGCCACGGGAAUACGUAGGUGGCAAGCGUUGUCCGGAAUUAUUGGGCGUAAAGGGCUCGCAGGCGGUUUCUUAAGUCUGAUGUGAAAGCCCCCGGCUCAACCGGGGAGGGUUAUUGGAAACUGGGAAACUUGAGUGCAGAAGAGGAGAGUGGAAUUCCACGUGUAGCGGUGAAAUGCGUAGAGAUGUGGAGGAACACCAGUGGCGAAGGCGACUCUCUGGUCUGUAACUGACGCUGAGGAGCGAAAGCGUGGGGAGCGAACAGGAUUAGAUACCCGCGUAGUCCCUGUCUCUUAUAC